Molecule: non-coding RNA, 137 nt
Organism: Euleptes europaea (tarantolino)
Lineage: Eukaryota; Metazoa; Chordata; Lepidosauria; Squamata; Sphaerodactylidae
Product: small Cajal body-specific RNA 11
Exons: 1
Source: RefSeq, a predicted model, not a curated record
CCGUCCCACCUUCAGCUGCCGCUCCUCUUGCCAAGACUAUGGUAGGGAGCUUGGGGGUGGACGGAGAUGAAAUACCUCUUAAUUUAGGAGGGCUUCUGUGGAGCGUGGAGAAGCCCUCAAAGGCGCGAGAGGACAUC